RNAcentral lists this ribosomal RNA (253 nucleotides) under uncultured bacterium. Its description in RNAcentral is "partial 16S ribosomal RNA". It matches the Rfam family "Bacterial small subunit ribosomal RNA", at positions 524 to 776 of the family's 1533-position model. The record is from RNAcentral.
UACGUAGGCAGUAAGCGUUGUUCGGAGUUACUGGGCGUAAAGGGUGCGUAGGCGGCUUUUUAAGUUUGGUGUGAAAUCUCCCGGCUCAACUGGGAGGGUGCGCCGAAUACUGAGAGGCUAGAGUGUGGGAGAGGAAAGUGGAAUUCCUGGUGUAGCGGUGAAAUGCGUAGAUAUCAGGAGGAACACCGGUGGUGUAAACGGCUUUCUGGACCAUAACUGACGCUGAGGCACGAAAGCGUGGGUAGCAAACAGG